This 688-nucleotide ribosomal RNA is filed under the name soil bacterium Gent-S1R-M1LLLSSL-3. Its description in RNAcentral is "bacterial SSU rRNA". It matches the Rfam family "Bacterial small subunit ribosomal RNA", at positions 106 to 792 of the family's 1533-position model. The record is from RNAcentral.
GUGCGGAACACGUACGCAACCUUCCUUCAAGCGGGGAAUAGCCCACAGAAAUUUGGAUUAAUACCCCAUAAGAAUGUGGAUCGGCAUCGAUCAGCAUUUAAAGAUUUAUCACUUGAAGAUGGGCGUGCGUCUGAUUAGGUAGUUGGUGAGGUAACGGCUCACCAAGCCGACGAUCAGUAACUGGCGUGAGAGCGCGACCAGUCACACGGGCACUGAGACACGGGCCCGACUCCUACGGGAGGCAGCAGUAAGGAAUAUUGGUCAAUGGACGGAACUCUGAACCAGCCAUGCCGCGUGGAGGAUGAAUGCCCUCUGGGUUGUAAACUUCUUUUAUCUGGGACGAAACACUUCUUUUCUAAGAGGCUUGACGGUACCAGAGGAAUAAGCACCGGCUAACUCCGUGCCAGCAGCCGCGGUAAUACGGAGGGUGCAAGCGUUAUCCGGAUUCACUGGGUUUAAAGGGUGCGUAGGCGGAUCUGUAAGUCCGUGGUGAAAUCUCCAAGCUUAACUUGGAAACUGCCAUGGAUACUAUAGAUCUUGAAUGUUGUGGAGGUUAGCGGAAUAUGUCAUGUAACGGUGAAAUGCUUACAUAUGACAUAGAACACCGAUUGCGAAGGCAGCUGGCUACACAACUAUUGACGCUGAGGCACGAAAGCGUGAGGAUCAAACAGGAUUAGAUACCCUGGUA